UUGUUCUGUGUUUUAAUAAGGACUUUCCUUCUAGCCUUUCUUCCUGUACCCAGUUCUGCAGCUUUCAGAGCAGAGCAGAUUCUAGGUUUGUGUCAGAGUGCUCAGCAAAGCAGGAAAGAGAAUCCAGUGG
Molecule: long non-coding RNA, 130 nt
Organism: Lutra lutra (Eurasian river otter)
Lineage: Eukaryota; Metazoa; Chordata; Mammalia; Carnivora; Mustelidae
Exons: 2
Source: RefSeq, a predicted model, not a curated record